UUCUGGAUGAUAGCGGGUGAACAGGCAGUGGCUCGGGUGGCUGUUGUCCUUGAUGAUCUUUUUGGCCUUCCUGUGGCAUCGGGUGGUGUAGGUGUCUUGGAGGGCAGUUAGUUUGCCCCCGGUGAUGCAUUGUGCAGACCUCAUUUACCUCUGGGGAGCCUUACGUCAGUAAACUUCGGCAAAAAAACAGUAAUUAAAUUCUUGCCAGCAGCACAGUUACAGUCAUCAACGAUCUAGAUAUCAUGACAACAGCCUUAACGAGCUCUGCUAGGGCGAGUAAAAUGGUUAGAGUGAGGUGUUCUCUCAUUUGUGUCUGGAAGUAGCUAGCCAACUUGUGCCAGUUAGCUUGGGUGCUUGCCGUUGUGCGGUCAGAACGUUGGAACCUCCGGAACCUCCGAGAGCGAAACGCUCUGAAUUUAUGAACAGACAAUCUGACAAUGUUCUGAAUUUACGAACGUCCAGAGUGCCAGAGUGAAUUUAGGAACACACAUCGAGAUGCACCUGCCUGCUAUUACUGUAAAUGUGGACCACGAAAAGGCUUUUGACAAGACCUUUCCCUUCCCGCCUCCCUCCCCUCCAGACCUGCUGCCUCCACAGCAGCCCCCUCCCAGGCCAUGGUGUUUUGUAGCGGGCAGGUUCUUGUAGACGGCCCUGGAGUACGGUAUGAAGCAGAGCCCCAACUGGAGGUGACGCGCCAGGCGGCAGUAGGCAGCCAGAGCCAGUACCAGGAGGGGGGUGACCAGGAGGAACCCGACCACUAGGAGGGCCACACAGCCCCCGUCGCUCAGCAGGUCCGAACAGUAGCGGGUCGUCCCCUGAGGGCGCACCUGGGGAGAGGAGAGGGGGCAGUGGAGGAGAGGAGAGGGUUGGUUUUUCUGGUUGAUUAUGUUGCUGUUUUUCACAUGACCAGAAGAAUGUGUUGCACCAACAACGAAGAGAUUGACAUAAUGUUCUUAUGACUGUAUAAUGACAAUAAUGGAAUGUCAAUGCAACAGAAAUGUAUUGAUCUCAAAUGUUGCUAUAGUUUCUGACAAGCUGAUGAAGCGAAUCAAGCUUUCUGUUGGAGUCUUGUCAGAACAGAUGGAGAGAGUUAUUGGUUUCAGCACCCAUGUUCAAGAGAAGUGAAGGAUGGAGGAGUCAGAGACGAAUGCGGGGAUAGACAGAUGGAGGAGAGGAGAGGAGGAGAUGCAGGGAGACGAUGACGUGCCCCUGUUGGAAUGUGUGUCGGAGGUUAUUCAUUAGAGAGCGUGACAACUCUCUGCCUGAAUAGUAGAAGAAGGAGAAGAAAAAGACACACCCCACCGCUUUCCCUCCUUACCGUAG
This is a long non-coding RNA of Oncorhynchus nerka (sockeye salmon), 1323 nucleotides long. RefSeq lists it as uncharacterized. Lineage: Eukaryota; Metazoa; Chordata; Actinopteri; Salmoniformes; Salmonidae. The transcript has 3 exons. The record is from RefSeq and is a predicted model, not a curated record.